Long non-coding RNA from Athalia rosae (coleseed sawfly), 865 nucleotides. RefSeq lists it as uncharacterized. The record is from RefSeq and is a predicted model, not a curated record. NCBI's taxonomy places the organism in Eukaryota, Metazoa, Arthropoda, Insecta, Hymenoptera, Athaliidae. The transcript is spliced from 2 exons.
AUACACUUUCGCGAUAUAAUUUGGAGUGAAACUUUCAUUUGAGCCUGAAUUCAAUGGAAUUGGUGGUCGGAGAGUUGAGAUCUGAUAAUCUUCGAUCACCGGCAGACUCAUUUCAUCAGAUUCACCAUCGUCAUCAUCAUUCGAAUUCCUGGACUCAAAAUAAAUAAUAAUUCCCUAUAAAAACCCUGAAAAGAAGUUUAUUUUUGGCCCAACAUUGAGGGAAAUCAAAGGCUAUAGUGUAAACAUAAAUAUAAUCAUCGUCCUGCUUUAAAUAAUGGUAAAUCUCGAGUUUUCAGAUAAAAGACCAACUACACUUUUGCAUAAAUUGAUUUAAUUGAUGAAUUUCUCUUACCUAAUAUUAUAAUGUACAAUUCAUUUAUUUCACGCUGUUAUUAAAGUUUGCGAAGCGUUGUUCAUACUAUGAACAUGAAAUAAAUCAACAAGUAAAGAUAACGUGGACAACAUAUAAUUCGCAACAUUUUGAGCAGAACUACUCAAAUGUAAGAUUAUCUUGAACAAAACUCAAGAAUGUUUCUUUUGGAACAUGUGUAUGUAUGUACAUCCCUACACCUGCGUUACAAUACAGAGAUUUCAAGUAAUCUAUAUUCACAAGCUGAUUCACUUGAAAUUUGAUACCUUAAUCUAUAAUAUAGUUGUAUAACUGAAACUAUAUCAAAAGCACGCAACUGCACUUUUGGUAACUUUAAUUUUGUUGUAAUCUGAAAUUAAGUAACCAAGUUACAACUUGUACAUAAAUAAAUUGUAGUCAUGUAAUAGGUCAUUUAUUAUGCAUUGACUGAUGCUAUGUAUGUCAAAGAUUAUGAAUAAACAAAUUGUUUAAAAAUAUUUGGAUAAUACAAAACAA